GAGAGAUGGAAGACUCAACUUCCAUUCCAGUUUUUAUCUUCAUUAUUGCCUGAUGACAUUGAAAUAGUCAGGUCACAUGUGAUGUCAAACAAGAAUCCAUACCUUGUAUUUCGUGAAAUCCGUGUUGAUAAAUCUUUGUGGAUGGAUUUAAUAGAAAAAAAUAGUGAAGUAAUUCCAUAUAUAGAAAUGUUGCACGAACAGUGGAGGGAUGUGCCAGCUCUCGCAAGUUUCAGUUCAUAUUGAGGACCAGAGAAUGAAAUUCAUAUUAAGUUGCAAGGAAUCAAAAUGGAAGAUGAAGUUUGUGUUGGAAGUGUGAAUGAUUCAUGUAGGAUGUAUUGUAAUUUGGUUUUAUUCUAAAAACAUACUUUUACUGUCU
Long non-coding RNA from Frankliniella occidentalis (western flower thrips), 376 nucleotides. RefSeq lists it as uncharacterized. The transcript is spliced from 3 exons. The record is from RefSeq and is a predicted model, not a curated record. Lineage: Eukaryota; Metazoa; Arthropoda; Insecta; Thysanoptera; Thripidae.